AAGACCAAUAAAAUYCAYGCCUCWACUUUAUACACACCACCGCAACCCAAAMWMYAACAGUCUUCAGUUGGGGCAACUACGGAGUAAAAAUAACCCUCCAAGAWGAACCGGAAUYYUCCUAAACUAAAAGCCACAGCUUUAUGUAUCAAUAAAAUGACAUUAUUAGACCCAAUAUUYYGAUUAACGAACUAAGUUACCCUAGGGAUAACAGCGCAAUCCACUCUAAGAGUCCCUAUCGACGGGUGGGCUUACGACCUCKAUGUUGGAUCAAGGCAUCCCAGUGGUGCAACCGCUACUAAAGGUUCGUUUGUUCAACGAUUAAAGCCUUACGU
RNAcentral lists this ribosomal RNA (332 nucleotides) under Eleutherodactylus albolabris. RNAcentral's name for it is "partial large subunit ribosomal RNA". Lineage: Eukaryota; Metazoa; Chordata; Amphibia; Anura; Eleutherodactylidae. The record is from RNAcentral.